Molecule: long non-coding RNA, 1412 nt
Organism: Cygnus olor (mute swan)
Lineage: Eukaryota; Metazoa; Chordata; Aves; Anseriformes; Anatidae
Exons: 3
Source: RefSeq, a predicted model, not a curated record
AUCCAUCAACAAAGAAAGGCACAUAGUGCAAUGAGAAAGGUUCUUUAAUCACUCCCACCCUAUUAAAAACUGGUCACCUCCUACCUGCACCAGCUGUGUUGGCUUUGUAUCAGUGGAGCACAAGCACAGCAACCUGCUUAGAACUACCUGGUAACUGAUGAGUAGAGGCAGCAGUUUCUGGGUGGUGUUGGUGACUGGCUUCUGCAGGCUGGCGUUAGGGGUUUGGUAUUGGGGUGCUGCUUUGCCAGCAGCUUGUUUCUAGAGAUAUGAAAUUGCUCAGAGCAAAGUUCUUCAAGCAGGGUAGGUCACCCCGGAUCUGAGGAACAUUUUUCUCCCUUCUUGAGCCCUGAAACAUUUUUAUGCUGCAGCCAGAGUGUCCAGGGAAAUUCAUUACAGGAUACUGGCCCAUGGCUCCUUGUUUAUAAUUUGCUGGAGCUGUUGGCAAAGCUGUUUUACUGGCAGAGCAGGGGCUGUAAGGAGCAGCAAAUACAAGGCCAUAUAGGUAUGUUACACAUGUGCUACUAAUGACCUAGAAAUGACUGGCAAGCUCAAGAGGAGGGAGGUCACGGAGAGGUGCUGGUAGUCUUGUACCCCACAGCUAUUCUGUGUACUCACUUCUUCCUGUGGCACAGUACUAACUGGACCUUCAUAAGCUCUACAAUAAGUAGGUGACUGACCCUUCACAAACGCCUGAGGUGUGCAUCUGCUUGUGCAAGGACAUUGCCCUCGGUUUGGGUCUGGAAUCUCUGAAGUUAUGGUGCACAAUGUAUUCAACAGCUGAUGAAGCCCAGCUGAGGACAGGGCAGGAUCAGUAGGGAACAGGGAUCAAAGCCUUUGUACUUGUUGCCAAAUCAACGUGCUUGAUUUUUACUUGUAAAUUUAUUUGCUAUAAAAUGUUGUAGUCUUUUUUUAAUAUUAGCAUUUUUCAUCCUACAUACUAGUCAAGUGCAACUAAAUACUGUAUUAUCGAUGAGUCUGUUUUAUCUUCUUUCCUAACCAACAAUUGCAUGAUUUCAACAACAGAAGGCUUUCUGAAAACAGGUCAAUGUUCAGGAGAGGUGAAUUUGAAUAGCUUUUUAAAAGUAAGUUCUUAUGCCACAGUAAUGGCAUAAAUAAAACCUAUUUACUAGGUGUUCUAGGUUAUGUUGUUUUCCAACACAAAUAUGUAACAGCACCUAAGGAGAAACAUGAUUUGAACAUUUUUAAGUUCAUAAGGAUCUUUGAGUCAAAUCUGAUUUUUUCUUUUUUUUUUUUUUUUCCCUUCAUUGUCUGGUUGGUGUCUUAAAGCACUGCUAAUGGUGCAGUGACUCCCUCCGCAGCUCUGGAUACUGGAUGGGCACUACCGUGCCCAUCACCUACCCCUCACGCUAUCAGCUCUGCUUCUCUGGCAUUUCCCCCUGCAGUCUUCACUG